RNAcentral lists this ribosomal RNA (963 nucleotides) under Triticum aestivum (bread wheat). Its description in RNAcentral is "partial small subunit ribosomal RNA". The record is from RNAcentral. Lineage: Eukaryota; Viridiplantae; Streptophyta; Magnoliopsida; Poales; Poaceae.
AUGUUGCGGAUCUGGAUCGAGACCGGAUCUGGGAUACGCCUCCCCCGCCACCGCCGGGCAGGCCGUCCUUUGCCACCAGCGAUGUCGCUCAGGUCCUGGAGANNNNNNNNNNNNNNNNNNNNNNNNNNNNNNNNNNNNNCACCCACCGGCCACGCCGCGUGCUUGCCCACCUUCAAUGCCAACGACGCCUCGUCCGCCUCUGCCCGCAAUAACUCCCCUCCGCGGAUGGGUGGGUGGCUGGCCUGCUUCAAUGCGACGACGGAGGUGACCCGCUCCCACGCCCACACGCAUUCAACCUUGCCGACCGGGGAGGGGCUCGAGGAGGAGGGCGCUGCGCCAUGGCAGCAGGUCGUGUCCCGUCGCCCGCGUCUCCCGGCUGCUCCUGCUCUGCCUGCUCCAUCCUUCAAGACGUGUUCGCCCAUCCCCGACUGGCUUCAAAAUAGAUGCUUCCACUGCCUCCUACCUCGUCACAAGGCCAAGCACUGCAAAAAUCCUAUCACCUAUCGUCGCUGCUACCGCUCGAGUCAUCGUGCGAGAGAGUGCACCAACAAGCCGGCUCCGCAUCGUCGCCCUGGGGUCUGCGCGGGUGGUCGUCGACCUGCCUUUGCCCCGGCGCAGCAGCCCCCCUCACAGGCGCCUCCCCGUGCUCCUACUCCGCCUCCGCCGCCUCCCCCUCCAGCUGGUGCAAUGGCAUGGAAUGGCGACCACGGGGCAUACCCGGCAGAGGUGCACACCAUCCUACAUGCGACCCCGGCCAUGCUGCAGGAGGCUGCAGUGCUAGGCUCCAAUGCUACCGUCGCCUGGUUCGACAGGGAGGUGACGGCCACGAAGGAUGUAGUCAACACCCUUGUCUGCAAGUGCACCAGCGUGCUGGCCGCCGCCGUGUUCAUCACCGACCACAGCCCGGAGGCCUACCUCAUCCGCUUCGUCCACCAGCAUCACUACGCGUCUAUUGUCAGCUAG